This 1765-nucleotide ribosomal RNA is filed under the name Homocaligus sp. AD1913. RNAcentral describes it as "SSU rRNA". It matches the Rfam family "Eukaryotic small subunit ribosomal RNA". The record is from RNAcentral. Lineage: Eukaryota; Metazoa; Arthropoda; Arachnida; Trombidiformes; Homocaligidae.
UCUCAAAGAUUAAGCCAUGCAUGUCCAAGUACAAACCGAAUUAAGGUGAAMCYGCGRAWGGMUCAUUAAAUCAGUUAUGGUUCCUUGGAUAUUUAAACUUACACGGAUACCUGUGGUAAUUCUAGAGCUAAUACGUGCAAAAUAACUGUAUCCAUAUAAAAUUGGAUAACAGUGCAUUUAUUAGUUAAAGGCCAAUGGGAUGCUUUCGGGCAUUCCUUUUAUUGGUGACACUGAAUAACUGCGCUAAUCGUAUGGCCCUGGUGCCGACGAUGUAUCUUUCAAGCGUCUGCCUUAUCAACUUUCGAUGGUAGGUUACAUGCUUACCAUGGUUGUUACGGGUGACGGGGAAUCAGGGUUCGAUUCCGGAGAGGGAGCCUGAGAGACGGCUACCACAUCCAAGGAAGGCAGCAGGCACGCAAAUUACCCACUCCCGGCACGGGGAGGUAGUGACGAAAAAUAACAAUACGGUGCCUUAUAUGGGUAUCCGUAAUUGGAAUGAGUCCAAUUUAAAUCCUUUUAACGAGGAUCAAUUGGAGGGCAAGUCUGGUGCCAGCAGCCGCGGUAAUUCCAGCUCCGAUAGCGUAUAUUAAAGUUGUUGCAGUUAAAAAGCUCGUAGUUUGAUAUCGGUUCAUGCUUCGUUAGGUCCACCAUAAUAGUGGUUACUUGACGGCUGAACGCAAUAACUUAUACGAUCCUUGAUGCCCUUAAACGGGUGCCUUGGACAAUAAGUACAUUUACUUUGAAAAAAUUAGAGUGCUCAAAGCAGGCUCUUAUUGCCCGGAUAUUCUAGCAUGGAAUAAUGGAAUAGGAUCUCGGUUCUAUUUUGUUGGUCUAUGGAGUCCGAGGUAAUGAUUAAAAGGAACGGACGGGGGCAUUUGUAUUGCGGCGCUAGAGGUGAAAUUCUUGGACCGUCGCAAGACAAACUAAAGCGAAAGCAUUUGCCAAGUACGCUUCCAUUAAUCAAGAACGAAAGUUAGAGGUUCGAAGGCGAUCAGAUACCGCCCUAGUUCUAACCAUAAACGAUAUCACUUUGCGAUCAGCCUGAKUCAUUUAAAAGGCUCGGCUGGCAGCAUCCGGGAAACCAAAAGUUUUGGAUUCCGGGGGAAGUACGGUUGCAAAGCUGAAACUUAAAGGAAUUGACGGAAGGGCACCACCAGGAGUGGAGCCUGCGGCUUAAUUUGACUCAACACGGGAAAACUCACCCGGCCCGGACACUGAGUGGAUUGACAGAUUGAGAGCUCUUUCUUGAUUCAGUGGGUGGUGGUGCAUGGCCGUUCUUAGUUGGUGGAGUGAUUUGUCUGGUUAAUUCCGGUAACGAACGAGACUCUAACCUACUAAAUACGUCGCUAGACUCUUUUAAAGGCGUCUGGUUACUUCUUAGAGGGACUGGUGGCGGUUAGCCACACGAGACUGAGCAAUAACAGGUCUGUGAUGCCCUUUGAUGUCCGGGGCUGCACGCGCGCUACACUGAAGUGUACAGCGCGCUUAAAUACCCUCUCCGGAAGGAGCGGGCAAACUCUUGAAUACGCUUCGUGCUUGGGAUUGGGCAUUGUAAUUAUUGCCCAUGAACGAGGAAUUCCCAGUAAGCGUGAGUCAUAAGCUUGCGUUGAUUAAGUCCCUGCCCUUUGUACACACCGCCCGUCGCUACUACCGAUUGAAUGAUUCAGUGAGGUCUUCGGACCGGCUGGUAUUGUCUCUUCACGGAGCCAUCACUGUGCUGGGAAGAUGCCCGAACUUGAUCAUUUAGAGGAAGUAAAAGUCGUAA